This is a small nucleolar RNA of Eptesicus fuscus (big brown bat), 86 nucleotides long. The record is from RefSeq and is a predicted model, not a curated record. NCBI's taxonomy places the organism in Eukaryota, Metazoa, Chordata, Mammalia, Chiroptera, Vespertilionidae.
GCUCAGUGAUGCAAUGCCAGUGGGCCCUUCUGACCCUCCACUGUGGACUCGGAACCAGGGAGACGAAAAGGAAAGUGACUGAGAAA